This 650-nucleotide ribosomal RNA is filed under the name uncultured Bacteroidota bacterium. Its description in RNAcentral is "bacterial SSU rRNA". It matches the Rfam family "Bacterial small subunit ribosomal RNA", at positions 52 to 694 of the family's 1533-position model. Lineage: Bacteria; Pseudomonadati; Bacteroidota. The record is from RNAcentral.
CACAUGCAAGUCGAGGGGCAGCAUUGGAGUAGCAAUACUUCAGAUGGCGACCGGCGCACGGGUGAGUAACACGUAUCCAACCUGCCGCUUACUCGGGGAUAGCCUUUCGAAAGAAAGAUUAAUACCCGAUGGUAUAAAGAGUUCGCAUGUUCUCUUUAUUAAAGAAUUUCGGUAAGCGAUGGGGAUGCGUUCCAUUAGAUUGUUGGCGGGGUAACGGCCCACCAAGUCUACGAUGGAUAGGGGUUCUGAGAGGAAGGUCCCCCACAUUGGAACUGAGACACGGUCCAAACUCCUACGGGAGGCAGCAGUGAGGAAUAUUGGUCAAUGGGCGAGAGCCUGAACCAGCCAAGUAGCGUGAAGGAUGACUGCCCUAUGGGUUGUAAACUUCUUUUAUAAGGGAAUAAAGUGAGGGACGUGUCCCUUUUUGUAUGUACCUUAUGAAUAAGGAUCGGCUAACUCCGUGCCAGCAGCCGCGGUAAUACGGAGGAUCCGAGCGUUAUCCGGAUUUAUUGGGUUUAAAGGGAGCGUAGGUUGACAUAUAAGUCAGCUGUGAAAGUUUACGGCUCAACCGUGAAAUUGCAGUUGAUACUGUAUGUCUUGAGUGUACAAGAGGUGGGCGGAAUUCGUGGUGUAGCGGUGAAAUGCUUAGA